RNAcentral lists this unclassified non-coding RNA (740 nucleotides) under Hevea brasiliensis (rubber tree). Lineage: Eukaryota; Viridiplantae; Streptophyta; Magnoliopsida; Malpighiales; Euphorbiaceae. The record is from RNAcentral.
GUGUGUGUGCGUAUAGAGAGCGAGAGAACUAAAGUUCUUAUAAGCUCUAGAGACUUCCAAGUCCUGGAUUUGAAAAGAAAUUGUCCAAAUUACACCAACUUUAUUACUUAUAAUCAUUUUUUCAACAGACCAUAGAGUGAUGCCAGAAAUUAUAAAAAGUGGGAAAAGUAAAAGAAAAGGAGCACCAGCAAAGUCAUUUACAAUUUAAUAAGGAUCACUAAAAUUUUUUGCCAAACCCAGAAAGAAAAUAUCCAAGUUUCUUACCAAUAUGAAGAUUGCAUACCAGAAUGCAAGUAAACUAGAGGACAAUCUAGGUACAGAGAGCAGUUAAAAUAUAAUACAUAGAAUGUAGAAAACACUAAGCAAUUCAGAAUGCCGGGACCUGUUAUGUUCCCCAGGUUGUGACUUAUAAUGGAUAGAGCAUUGGCAAUACCAAUAAUAUUAGACUUGCAAAUGAAAAUGAAAAUGACAACAGAUGACCAGAAGUAGUUCUCUUUUUACUUUUCGCUUUCUAUUAAUCAUAUUAGACAAAUGUGAUCGUUAAAAAAAUAUAAAAAGAUGUGAGAAUCUCAACAGCAGCAAGGCUUAUAAAUGUCAAUACUAAUCUGGUAAUGCUUAGCAUGCACAUUUCUUGAAACUAAUGAAACUACAUAUAUUUAUUAUGCGUGCUUGCAUCCAUGGUUUUAAAUCGCAGUGGCGGCCGUAUUCAUGGUCGUAGUUGCGAGUAAGCCUGUAAUGGC